UACAGAGGGUGCGAGCGUUAAUCGGAAUUACUGGGCGUAAAGCGCACGUAGUCGGCUUUGCAAGUCGGGUGUGAAAUCCCCGGGCUCAACCUGGGAACUGCAUCCGAGACUGCAUUGCUAGAGUAUGGGAGAGGGAAGCGGAAUUUCUGGUGUAGCAGUGAAAUGCGUAGAUAUCAGGAGGAACACCGAUGGCGAAGGCAGGUCUCUGGGCUGACACUGACGCUCAUGCACGAAAGCGUGGGGAGCAAACAGG
This 253-nucleotide ribosomal RNA is filed under the name uncultured bacterium. RNAcentral's name for it is "partial 16S ribosomal RNA". It matches the Rfam family "Bacterial small subunit ribosomal RNA", at positions 524 to 776 of the family's 1533-position model. The record is from RNAcentral.